This 483-nucleotide unclassified non-coding RNA is filed under the name Hevea brasiliensis (rubber tree). Lineage: Eukaryota; Viridiplantae; Streptophyta; Magnoliopsida; Malpighiales; Euphorbiaceae. The record is from RNAcentral.
UUAACAAGUCAACCAUGGGCUUGCUCUCUAUGAAAGCAUAUUUCAGAGAGUCAAGAAAUUUGCCUAAUAAUCGUGAGGCCAAUGCGAUGAUAAAUCUCAACCUUUUUGUUCUGCUUCCGCCAUCGUUUUGCGAAUGGCUCGACAUCAUCAGGUACAUAAUUGUGUUGAUUGUUAUGGUCAUUUUACUCAUUUGUUAUCGGAAGAAGAAGAGAAAAGACGCACAAAUUUAAAUGUUUUUAUAAGCUUUUUAGAGAUUCCAGAAAAAGAGAAAUAGAGAAAGAAAAUGACUAGAGCAGAAGAGAUGCCAACAAAAGUAGCAAGAGGAUUAAGGUUGUGUUUGGAUCGCAGGAAAAUAAGGAAGAAAAGAAAAUUUGAAAAAGAAAAUAAUAAUAUUUUUAAUUCAUUUGUGUUUAAUUAGAGAAGAAAAUAAAGAGGUAGUUAAAUUUUAUUUUCAUUUUCUCUCUAAAUUGAAGUGAAAGUAGG